AAACUCUAGCAAGCUACUAGUUAUCUAUGUGUCUUUGUAAAGGCUUCAUGGUGGACCUCCAGCCACUCACCAAAGGAAGUGUUUAAGGGCUUUGCAAACUCGAGCAACACAGGGAACAUGAGCUGUGGGUAAAAUGUACAACCUCUGCAGAGUGUAAACUGGUAUAUCAGCCGUGCUCACGAUUAUGAGCGGCUUGGACCCUCACAUGAUAAUUGAACUUAAAGAUGAAAAUAAAUCGUGGUUCCUUUGUUUUUAGGAUAAUGUUGGUUCUUUAUGCGUAACUGGGUUGGUAUAAACUUACACCUAGUAAAUAGGUGCUUGGUAAUAAAAUGUGACCAACUAACAAUGCUAACCGCUGAAAGCCUAUCAACCUCUCCUUGUUAGCCUUGCAUUCCCCCCCCCCCACUUGCUGAGUACCAACUAUAAGUGUA
Molecule: long non-coding RNA, 431 nt
Filed under: Setaria viridis
Lineage: Eukaryota; Viridiplantae; Streptophyta; Magnoliopsida; Poales; Poaceae
Description: long non-coding RNA (SVIR_LNC001616)
Source: RNAcentral